Molecule: ribosomal RNA, 402 nt
Filed under: uncultured Qipengyuania sp.
Lineage: Bacteria; Pseudomonadati; Pseudomonadota; Alphaproteobacteria; Sphingomonadales; Erythrobacteraceae
Description: bacterial SSU rRNA
Rfam family: Bacterial small subunit ribosomal RNA
Source: RNAcentral
UGGGGAAUAUUGGACAAUGGGCGAAAGCCUGAUCCAGCAAUGCCGCGUGAGUGAUGAAGGCCUUAGGGUUGUAAAGCUCUUUUACUGGGGAUGAUAAUGACAGUACCCAGAGAAUAAGCUCCGGCUAACUCCGUGCCAGCAGCCGCGGUAAUACGGAGGGAGCUAGCGUUGUUCGGAAUUACUGGGCGUAAAGCGCACGUAGGCGGCGAUUCAAGUCAGAGGUGAAAGCCCGGGGCUCAACCCCGGAACUGCCUUUGAAACUAGAUUGCUAGAAUCCUGGAGAGGUUAGUGGAAUUCCGAGUGUAGAGGUGAAAUUCGUAGAUAUUCGGAAGAACACCAGUGGCGAAGGCGACUAACUGGACAGGUAUUGACGCUGAGGUGCGAAAGCGUGGGGAGCAAACA